AUUGAACGCUGGCGGCAUGCCUUACACAUGCAAGUCGAACGGCAGCGGGGGAGAAGCUUGCUUUUCCUGCCGGCGAGUGGCGAACGGGUGAGUAAUACAUCGGAACGUGCCCUGUAGUGGGGGAUAACUAGUCGAAAGAUUAGCUAAUACCGCAUACGACCUGAGGGUGAAAGUGGGGGACCGCAAGGCCUCAUGCUAUAGGAGCGGCCGAUGUCUGAUUAGCUAGUUGGUGGGGUAAAGGCCUACCAAGGCGACGAUCAGUAGCUGGUCUGAGAGGACGAUCAGCCACACUGGGACUGAGACACGGCCCAGACUCCUACGGGAGGCAGCAGUGGGGAAUUUUGGACAAUGGGCGAAAGCCUGAUCCAGCAAUGCCGCGUGUGUGAAGAAGGCCUUCGGGUUGUAAAGCACUUUUGUCCGGAAAGAAAUGGCGAGCUCUAAUACAGUUUGCUAAUGACGGUACCGUAAGAAUAAGCACCGGCUAACUACGUGCCAGCAGCCGCCGUAA
RNAcentral lists this ribosomal RNA (508 nucleotides) under uncultured bacterium. Its description in RNAcentral is "partial 16S ribosomal RNA". It matches the Rfam family "Bacterial small subunit ribosomal RNA", at positions 30 to 523 of the family's 1533-position model. The record is from RNAcentral.